Molecule: ribosomal RNA, 559 nt
Filed under: uncultured bacterium
Lineage: Bacteria
Description: bacterial SSU rRNA
Rfam family: Bacterial small subunit ribosomal RNA
Source: RNAcentral
UCCUACGGGAGGCAGCAGUGGGGAAUCUUGCACAAUGGAGGAAACUCUGAUGCAGCGAUGCCGCGUGAGUGAAGAAGGCCCUUGGGUUGUAAAGCUCUUUUGUCGGGAAAGAUAAUGACUGUACCCGAAGAAUAAGGUCCGGCUAACUUCGUGCCAGCAGCCGCGGUAAUACGAAGGGACCUAGCGUAAUUCGGAAUUACUGGGCGUAAAGCGCGCGUAGGCGGUUAAGUAAGUUAAUUGUGAAAGCCCAAAGCUCAACUUUGGAAUUGCAAUUAAAACUACUUAGCUAGAGUUUAUCAGAGGAAAGCGGAAUACAUAGUGUAGAGGUGAAAUUCGUAGAUAUUAUGUAGAACACCAGUUGCGAAGGCGGCUUUCUGGGAUAACACUGACGCUGAGGUGCGAAAGUAUGGGUAGCGAAGAGGAUUAGAUACCCUCGUAGUCCAUACCGUAAACGAUGAUUGUUAGAUGUUGGAAAUUUAUUUUCAGUAUCACAGCUAACGCGUUAAACAAUCCGCCUGGGGAGUACGACCGCAAGGUUAAAACUCAAAUGAAUUGACGG